UCCAUUGUCGUCCAGUGGUCAGGAUAUCUGGCUUUCACCUAGGAGACUCGAGUUCGAUCCUCGGCAAUGGAA
Non-coding RNA from Cucurbita pepo subsp. pepo (vegetable marrow), 72 nucleotides. NCBI's taxonomy places the organism in Eukaryota, Viridiplantae, Streptophyta, Magnoliopsida, Cucurbitales, Cucurbitaceae. The record is from the annotation of a RefSeq genome assembly.